ACAAAGCCGGGAUAGCUCAGUUGGUAGAGCAGAGGACUGAAAAUCCUCGUGUCAC
This 55-nucleotide transfer RNA is filed under the name Timmia austriaca. RNAcentral's name for it is "partial tRNA-Phe". It matches the Rfam family "tRNA", at positions 1 to 48 of the family's 71-position model. Rfam says of the family: Transfer RNA (tRNA) molecules are approximately 80 nucleotides in length. Their secondary structure includes four short double-helical elements and three loops (D, anti-codon, and T loops). Lineage: Eukaryota; Viridiplantae; Streptophyta; Bryopsida; Timmiales; Timmiaceae. The record is from RNAcentral.